GUUCUAGCACUUUCAACUUCUUUAGGCAGAAGGGCCUUUAGCUCAUCCUCAAAUGUCGCGAUCUUUUGGAAGAUGGAGGUGCUCAGGUUCCUCUCACUGUCACCGUUUUUAAGUGCGUGUUCAACCAGUGUUUGCCUUAGUUUUUGCAUCAAUGGGUAGGUUGCGCUGCAGGGAUCAUCAAUGUAUGCGAAGAUAUAUUCGCGGUCCACCACUCUGAGCAAAUCUUUCUCACAGAAUCUUGAGGGAUGGAGUUCACCGUUGACACCAGUGGUGAGUACUCGCUUGGCUACUUGGCUUACAGUGUUUUUGACGGUGUUUUUCAAAUUCUCCUCCAAAUGCCUCAAGUCUAUUGCUUGGCAGAGGCCAACUAAAAACGUGGUAGACAUGAGUUUCAAGAUUUCGACAGCUUCUGAUGUUUUCCUGGAAGAAAUCAAGCCCAAGGAGUUCACAUCUUGAUUGUGUUGUUCAGCACUUUGAACAUGGUUGGUCACUGGAUUGGCUAGAAACUGAAGUUCAGAGCAGUAAGAAGCCAUGGCAAUCUCAGCUCCCUUGAAUCCAUAAUCCAAACUCGGAUUACGCCCUCCAGACAAAUUCGAUGGCAACCCAUUGUUGUAAAAAUCAUUGACAAGUUCUGAAAAUUGAGCAAACAUGAGCUUUCCUAUCGCUGC
This 668-nucleotide long non-coding RNA is filed under the name Daucus carota (carrot). RNAcentral's name for it is "long non-coding RNA (DCAR_LNC003660)". The record is from RNAcentral. Lineage: Eukaryota; Viridiplantae; Streptophyta; Magnoliopsida; Apiales; Apiaceae.